This 32-nucleotide small RNA is filed under the name Bombyx mori (domestic silkworm). RNAcentral describes it as "ovarian small RNA-30296". Lineage: Eukaryota; Metazoa; Arthropoda; Insecta; Lepidoptera; Bombycidae. The record is from RNAcentral.
UGAAAAAAUUUCAUACCAGAAACCUGUGGGAG